AUUGAACGCUGGCGGCAUGCUUUACACAUGCAAGUCGAACGGUAACAGGCCGCAAGGUGCUGACGAGUGGCGAACGGGUGAGUAAUGCAUCGGAACGUGCCCAGUCGUGGGGGAUAACGCAGCGAAAGCUGUGCUAAUACCGCAUACGAUCUAUGGAUGAAAGCGGGGGACCGUAAGGCCUCGCGCGAUUGGAGCGGCCGAUGUCAGAUUAGGUAGUUGGUGGGGUAAAGGCUCACCAAGCCAACGAUCUGUAGCUGGUCUGAGAGGACGACCAGCCACACUGGGACUGAGACACGGCCCAGACUCCUACGGGAGGCAGCAGGGGGGAAUUUUGGACAAUGGGCGAAAGCCUGAUCCAGCAAUGCCGCGUGCAGGAAGAAGGCCUUCGGGUUGUAAACUGCUUUUGUACGGAGCGAAAAGGUCUCCUCUAAUACAGGGGGCUCAUGACGGUACCGUAAGAAUAAGCACCGGCUAACUACGUGCCAGCAGCCGCCGUAA
RNAcentral lists this ribosomal RNA (498 nucleotides) under uncultured bacterium. Its description in RNAcentral is "partial 16S ribosomal RNA". It matches the Rfam family "Bacterial small subunit ribosomal RNA", at positions 29 to 523 of the family's 1533-position model. The record is from RNAcentral.